UCUAGAACCCAAGAUAUGGACUAAACACUGAACAGUGUCUAGGCUGCAGGACAUAUUUGGACUCCAAAAAGGCAGAAUUGAGUUUUGAACGCAUCAUGAAUAUUUUAGGCUUAUGUCUUAGCUUUCCAUC
Populus trichocarpa (black cottonwood) is the source of this 130-nucleotide non-coding RNA. NCBI's taxonomy places the organism in Eukaryota, Viridiplantae, Streptophyta, Magnoliopsida, Malpighiales, Salicaceae. The record is from Rfam.